This 38017-nucleotide long non-coding RNA is filed under the name Gossypium barbadense (sea-island cotton). RNAcentral's name for it is "long non-coding RNA (GBAR_LNC013534)". Lineage: Eukaryota; Viridiplantae; Streptophyta; Magnoliopsida; Malvales; Malvaceae. The record is from RNAcentral.
GGUGCAACACGAAUCACUUGGUGUCUCGUCAGUUUUUGGCAUCCUAGUGCAAAUUAGGAUUCUUUGGUAGUUUGGUUCACACUCUCUAAUUGGUUGAUAUAAACUCUGAUAAAGAACUCACAAGAUUGAAUUCGACCUCAUUGAGAAUUUGAUUUUUCUUUUUGAGUGAUUAAUGGUGAGGUUUGCUAACUUUUAUUUUUGAGUGUUGAGUGUUUAUUUUUUACAGGUUUUGAAGAUGUCUAAAGGUGAUAAUAAUGAUGCACUUAUGAAAGUCCAACAACAGUUAGACGGACAUACUGCUGCAAUCACACAAAUAAAUGCUACACUUCAAGCAUUGAUUACUACUUUGAAUGAGGUACGAGUGAAUCAAAAACAUCAAUAUCGAGAUCUAAUUAAGGAAGAUAAGGAUAACCAGCCCUAUAGGUGCAGCCCUCAACGUGUCCCUAGAAUGGAUGAUGAUUUUCAUGAUCGUGGACAAUCAUCUUUGGCAAAACCAAAGAGCGAGCAGCAACGAGAACAUCUCUUUCAUACUCGCUGCCAUGUACAAGGUAAGCUUUGUAGAGUUAUUAUUGAUGGUGAAAGUUGCUCGAACAUAGCCAGCACGACGAUGGUGGAAAAGCUUUGCUUAACCACUACCAAGCAUCCACAACCUUAUCAACUACAAGGGCUUAGCAACAAAGGCCAAUUUAGGGUCACUCAACAAGUGCGCAUCGCCUUUUCUAUCGGUAAGUAUCAAGACGAAGUUGUAUGCGACGUAAUGCCUAUUCAAGCCUGCCAUUUGUUGCUAGGAGAACCAUGGAAACUGGAUCGAAAAGUCACUCAUGAUGGUCGUACCAAUAGGUAUUCUUUCAAGCAUCAAGGAAAGAAACUCACCUUAGUGCCGCUCACUCUGGAACAAGUCCAUGAGGACCAAAUCAAACUGAAAAAUUCUGUUAAAACAAGUGAGGAAAAAGAAAAAGAGAAUGAAAAAGAGCAAAAAGAGAUUGAGAGUGAAAAAGAAAUUGAAGAAAGAAGAGAAAAUGAAUUAGAAAAAGAAACAAAAGAAAAAGAUGUGGAAAGGGUAGUGAGGAAUUGAUGCAACCUUAGCCCGGGAAAUUACUACCGAAUCCAUUGAGCUGCCACGAGGACCAAUAACUCGAUCACGAGCUAAGAGAUUUCGAAAUGCAAUAGCAAGCUAUGUGGAACGAGCUUGGGAAGAGGGAGUGGCCGGAUUUGAUAGUCGUGCUUCAAACUGUUCAAAAGGCGUUACUUGCAAUUUAUUGCAAGCUGAAUUUGUUUCUUUUAAUUAACUUGUUUUAGUUUAAUCAAUAAGUUGCUGAUCAAUUAAUUUAACUUAUCUUAAAGUUUUAAUACAUGAGUUAGUUAUUGAACUUUAUUAAAUAAGAUGCUUCUUAAUUGAUCUAGUUCCUAGGAUUAUUUAUUGAUGCAUAAAUUAAGUUCUUUAAAUUAUGCUUCUUUAAUUAAACUAGUUGCUGGAAUAAUUAUUGCAUAUAUGUUUUAGUUCAUUUAUUUAAGUAAGUUUAAUAUGUGUUAUGAUUAAUAAGUGUUUUAAUGUGUUUAAUAAACUCAUUUUAAUGUGUUUAUUGCAGGUGACUUUUUAGCUUAUAGUGGUUACAAUUCAAGGCUGUUACACAUUUAAUAAGUGGCUGUUCAAGUUCUUUUGAGUUACAAUUAAAGGGGCUGUUAAAAAAAGGAGCUUAAAGAUCAUUAAAAGGAGUUUUUAAAGAGCAUUUUAUGCCCUUUAAAAUUCAGCAGCAACUCUUCCACUUCCAGCCGUUUUUGGAGCUUUUAAGAGAAAUUAAUCAAGCCUUUGAAUGUCAUUAAAGAGCUGGUAAGAGAUGGUGUCUAUUCAACUAGCCAAGGACAACUCAAGAGUCAUUUUCUAAGCCAUUAAAGACAUUCAAAUCAGCUGAAUUAAAGUGAUUUUAUGGAAGGAGUUAUUUGGUUCAAAGAAUAAGAAAAGACAUCAGUUUUUUAUGGCACAUUAAGUGGAUGUUUUUGACCAUUCGAUUACCUUGUUCUAGCAUUAUAAAUAGAUGUAAUCAGCCAUAGAGGGAACAACUUUUUGCUGAAUAUAGAUGAAAUAUUUGAAUUGUGAGCUAUCCAAUUCUCUUUGUUCUUUCGGAAUUGAUUUGACUUAUCAAGCAUAGCUUAUGGCGUCCAUCUUUUCUUUGUUGUUGAACUUAUCACCUUUGGUGUGGCGUUCAAUAUUGAUACGAGCUCGAUUCGGAUGAUGUGAUGAGUCGUAUUAUGUUCCCGAUCGAAUUUAGGUAGUGUCGAUUUAGUUCAAAAUUCAAUAAGAUGAGUUAUAUUGGUUUUAAAUGAAUUAGGAAGCAAAAUGGGGAUAAUGGUUUCCAAUGAAACAAGAACGAACCCUUAUUAACAAAUAAGGACCCGGGCUUAAAGGUUUCAAAGAAAAGGAAAGAAAUGGUAGAUAAAACCGAGACCCUCUAUUUAGCAAAAUAGGAACCUUCGGUAUAGUUGGAACGCCACACCUUAUGGUGAUAAGUUCAAAACAAAGUCAGAUUGACGCCACUCGUAAAGAUAAGUCAAUUGAGCUUUGAAGAAUAAAGAGAGUGAAUUGCCUCACUAAAAUGAUAUUUCGUUCAGAGAUUUGUCAAAAGUCCUUUUACAAGAAAUUUAACAACUAUUUAUAGCCUUUCUACUAGUAGCCGAAUGGACAAAUUCAAGACUUAGUUUCUAAGUAAACAAUGAACUAAAAUUCAGCAUGAAUGCAAAAUUAUUAGCCCAUGUAGAUUCGGCUGAAUGAGAGUUCCAAUAGUCAUCUUCUAGAUGGGAAAAUGCACCUUGAACAUCUUGGAUGUGCAUGAAUAGGCUAGGUUUGGUCAAUGAACAUAAUGGGGUCAUUCAUGAAGCAACUAUUGCUGAAAAAUUACCAGCAUUAAUUGGCAAUUUGAACAGCCAUUUAGAAGUGUGAACGGAUGGUUUUGAAGGGCCAUGAGGUGUGAACAUGGCUGAACCGAACAGCCAUAGUGUGAACAGCCUUUAUACUUCCUUGAGAAGAGAAUCGGCCAACCUUGAAAAGAUGAAAAGCUUGGUCACUUUGGCUGAAUAGUUGCCUUGAAAAAAAACUCCAAAGAUUAAUCAGCUUUAAUGCAUUAAAUCAGCUGCACAUGCAUCUUCAAAUUCAUUGAAUCUCCAUGCAAGAAUCUACCCAAUUCAUCUUCAAAUUCGGCUGCACCUAAAAACACACAUGAACUUAAUUAAUUUCAAGCAAAUUCAGCUGAACUAAAUUAAAGUAUAAUGUGAACAUCCUAAAUAACAUUGAGACAACUUAAAUAUUAACAAAUCAUAACACAUAAAUUCGGCUGGACAAAUUUAAAACAUGUAAUAAUUUAGACAAACUAAAUGACAUCAAGACAUCUUUAAUUUAACUAAAUCAAGACAUAUUAAACACUUAAAUUAAUUAAGACAUAUUUAAAAGCUAUAAUGAAACUUAUUUAAAUGUUUAUUUAAAUGGUCUAAAUUCCAGCAUCAAAUUAAUUAGCUAGAACGAAAUUCAGCUUCAAAGAAGUUGAAUAUGUUUAGCUCAUUUUUAAACUCCUUGCUAUCAUUUUCCUCAACCCGUUCCACCAUUGUUAAAAUAGCAUCUUUGAAUCGUUUAGCUCUAGCUUGCGUUAUUGGACCAAUGGGCAGCUUGAUGGCUUCUUGUUCGUUCUCCAUUUGGUUCGUAGGCAAGCUCACAUCAAAUAUACCUUUGGUUCCUAUCAUAGUUGAUAGUGGGUCAAGGUUCCUUUCCUGUUUCCUUUAACCGAAAACACCUAAAGACCAUUUUGAGAUUUGGGUCAACAAUUCGUUAUUGUUGGUUCAUUUUCGGUCUUAGCCAAUUAAUUUGUUAUUGUUUCCUCUUUAUUUUGUUUAUUACCUUUGUUUGAAGCCAUUAUCUCUAUUUUGUUUCAUUUUAAAACCGAAACGAAUCCAUCCUUACUCAAUUCACGAUUGGGCAACACAUACGACUCAAAACAUCACGAGACGAGUUCGUAUCAGGAAUGUUUCCACUAACCAAGAUAUGAAUUUUUCUUGUGUUGGUAAUUUUCAGGUUCCCGAAAGAUCGAAAGAUAACUUUCAACUUCAAUACCUCUCAAAUGAAAGACGCUUUCAUACGAUCAACUUAGGCAAAGAUGAAAUCACACUACAUGAUCCCGAAGGUAAGCGAGGUAAGGAAAUUUUAGAAACCGAGUCCAGUGCAGAUUUGAAAAUUAUUGAUAAAACUUUUGGUGACUUAGUUCUUAAAAGAUCCCCUCAUUUUGAUCCGAUUAAUUUUUACUCUUCGAUUGUGGUUGAUAAAGUCAUUACGAAAAGAAGCGUGAUUUGUUAUUCUCUUGAUUUACCUUGUGUAAAAUCCUUGAAUUUGUCCAAAUCUGUUUUGGAGAAUAAGGUAAUGAAAUUUUCCAAAUUUGUUUUCAAUUUAUAUUCGAGCCUUAAACAGUUUAUGUGGUUGUACAUGAAGUUUGAGUUCCAUUUGACAAAGGUUAACUCAACAACGGAGAUUCGACUACACUACGCCCCCGAUGAGUGAAGGUUUGUUUUAAAUGAAAAAGGUAAAAUCGACCCUUAUUCUUUUGCUUAUCAAGGUAAGAUGCUUGAAACCUUUGAAACACUUUUGUACUCCUCGGAUAGCAACAAAGAUCGUGUUGAUGAACACUUAGAUCGAAACGUGCUUGACUGUCCUAUUUUAUUUAUUGAUGAUAAAUCUAUUUUGAUGGUUGAUAAAAAGAUUCUUGUUUUUGAUAAUGCAUGUGUGAGUGAAUCUAUAAACCGUCGAUUAAUGCAUGGUAAUCUGAAUAUGUCCAUUCACAUGCGUUAUACCUAUUCUAUUAUGCUUAUAAUUGGACUACAAGCUUGUUUGCGUUGCUAUUUACUAUUUCAUGGCUAUUCUUUUCAGUGGACUCAAUUGCCAUUAGUCCCGUUUGAUCGAGGAAAGUCGAGUUCAUUUGAUUUUUUAGAUUCGAGGAUGAAUCUUUUUGAGGAAGGGCGGAAUGAUACAAGUCACAAAGGCCCAACCCAAGCUUAAGAAGGUGAUGGGCUCAAAUCAAGAAAAUCAAGAUUCACUUUCUUGUUUUCAAGAAAAUCAAGAAAUCGAAUCUUGGCCCAAUUUUGCUGUUCGGAGCGAUUUCAAGAAUCAAGAAAAUCAAGAUUUCAAAUCUUGGAAAUCUUGGUCCAAGAAACCGAAUCUUGUAGCCAAAGCGCGUUGGAUCUCCAUUACGAGCGUCAACGACCCAAUUUCGGUAGGAGAUGGAUCACAAGCCCAAAUUCUUAAAGGCGAGGCCCAAUAAGAAACUUCCCAGCCCAAUCAAGAAAUCCAUACAUAUUUAGUUGAAAAUCAGGCCAAAAUGUCAAAGGGCCCAAUUUGUAAACAUUUUAGUUGUUUAAGUUAAUUUUUUAAGUUUUAGGAAUAUCACAUGUUAAAUUAGGCCCAAAACAGUCCAAUAGGAUGCAUGGCCGAAUUUUCCUUUGUUUUUUUAAUUAAGUUUAAAUUUUUUAAGUUUUCUAAUUAGAUUAGGAUUUGUUGGAGGCCUAUAUAAGCAUUGGCCAGCCACCCUUUGUAAACAUCUUAUUAUUAUUUUUUCUAUCAAAUUUUAGAUUUGUUGAGUGCAGAAUUUUCUUUGGGGUUUUCUCCAAGAAUUCUCUCUUGAGUUUUCUUUAGAAGUUGUUUUAACAAUCUUUUGAUUGUGGGAGCCAUCUUCAACCUUCUUCUUGCCAUCGAUAUUCUUUGGAGGGGAGAUUAGAGCCGUUUGAAGAGAUUUGUGAAAUCUUUCGGGAUUUCAAGGAUCUUUAGGACUUCAAUUUACUUUCUUGCUGUUCAUUCUUUUCUUUUAAAUUCUGUUUAUGCCGAUUCUUUUGAUCUAACUUGUUUAUUCUUCUUGUGAAUUUCCAGCCAUCUUUAUUACUCAAAAAGAUCGAUCGGUACUCAUUCUUGGUAGCCAAAUUCGACUAAACUUAUCUUUUCCAAUUAAUCUUGUCAAAUUCUUCUUGUCAAAACUGACUAUUUUAGGUUGCUGGAAUUUUGGGAAAAAUCAAGUUGCUGGAAUUUGGGGCUUUAUUCAUCGGUUUAGUUCUUGGACAGAUUCAGCUUGUUGAAAAUCAAUCUUGGAGAUCGAUUUCGUGUUUUUGCAUUCCGAAAACAUCUAUUCAUAAGAUCUUUGAUUCUUGGCUGUUCUUGAUUGUUUUGGGGAUCUUAAUUUCCAGAUCUGAUUUGUUUUUAAUCUUAUUCUUUGUUUUAAUUUUUAGAUCUGUUCAAUUAGAGCUUUUGUAGGAGUUUCUCGUGACUUGGCAACUCGAUCUUGGUCCGCGCGCGCCUCCGUACCAGUAAACAUCUUACUUGUUUAAUUUAAUUUUUUAAUCUUUAGGAGCAUUACAUGUAAAAUUCGGCCCAAAAUAGCCCAUAUAAGUGCAUGGCCGAAUUUACCUUGUUAUUUUAUUAAAUAGGUUUAAUUUUUUAUUAGUUACUUGUGAGAUUAGGAUUUGUUGGAGGCCUAUAUAAGCAUUGGCCAGCCACCCUUUGUAAACACAUCUUAUUAUUAUUUUUCUAUCAAAUUUUAGAUUUGUUGAGUGUAGAAUUUUCUUUCGGGUUUUCUCCAAGAAUUCUCUCUUGAGUUUUCUUUAGAAGUUGUUUUAACAAUCUUUGGAUUGUGGGAACCAUCUUCAACCUUCUUCUUGCCAUCGAUAUUCGUUGGAGGGGAGAUUAGAGCCGUUUGAAGAGAUUUGUGAAAUCUUUCGGGAUUUCAAGGAUCUUUAGGACUUCAAUUUACUUUCUUGCUGUUCAUUCUUUUCUUUUAAAUUCUGUUUAUGCCGAUUCUUUUGAUCUAACUUGUUUAUUCUUCUUGUGAAUUUCCAGCCAUCUUUAUUACUCAAAAAGAUCGAUCGGUACUCAUUCUUGGUAGCCAAAUUCGACUAAACUUAUCUUUUCCAAUUAAUCUUGUCGAAUUCUUCUUGUCAAAACUGACUGUUUUAGGUUGCUGGAAUUUUGGGAAAAAUCAAGUUGCUGGAAUUUGGGGCUUUAUUCAUCGGUUUAGUUCUUGGACAGAUUCGGCUUGUUGAAAAUCAAUCUUGGAGAUCGAUUUCGUGUUUUUGCAUUCCGAAAACAUCUAUUCAUAAGAUCUUUGAUUCUUGGCUGUUCUUGAUUGUUUUGGGGAUCUUAAUUUCCAGAUCUGAUUUUUUUUUAAUCUUAUUCUUUGUUUUAAUUUUUAGAUCUGUUCAAUUAGAGCUUUUGUAGGAGUUUCUCGUGACUUGGCAACUCGAUCUUGGUCCGCGCGCGCCUCCGUACCAGUAAACAUCUUACUUGUUUAAUUUAAUUUUUUAAUCUUUAGGAGCAUUACAUGUAAAAUUCGGCCCAAAACAGCCCAUAUAAGUGCAUGGCCGAAUUUACCUUGUUAUUUUAUUAAAUAGGUUUAAUUUUUUAUUAGUUACUUGUGAGAUUAGGAUUUGUUGGAGGCCUAUAUAAGCAUUGGCCAGCCACCCUUUGUAAACACAUCUUAUUAUUAUUUUUCUAUCAAAUUUUAGAUUUGUUGAGUGCAGAAUUUUCUUUCGGGUUUUCUCCAAGAAUUCUCUCUUGAGUUUUCUUUAGAAGUUGUUUUAACAAUCUUUGGAUUGUGGGAACCAUCUUCAACCUUCUUCUUGCCAUCGAUAUUCGUUGGAGGGGAGAUUAGAGCCGUUUGAAGAGAUUUGUGAAAUCUUUCGGGAUUUCAAGGAUCUUUAGGACUUCAAUUUACUUUCUUACUGUUCAUUCUUUUCUUUUAAAUUCUGUUUAUGCCGAUUCUUUUGAUCUAACUUGUUUGUUCUUCUUGUGAAUUUCCAGCCAUCUUUAUUACUCAAAAAGAUCGAUCGGUACUCAUUCUUGGUAGCCAAAUUCGACUAAACUUAUCUUUUCCAAUUAAUCUUGUCGAAUUCUUCUUGUCAAAACUGACUGUUUUAGGUUGCUGGAAUUUUGGGAAAAAUCAAGUUGCUGGAAUUUGGGGCUUUAUUCAUCGGUUUAGUUCUUGGACAGAUUCGGCUUGUUGAAAAUCAAUCUUGGAGAUCGAUUUCGUGUUUUUGCAUUCCGAAAACAUCUAUUCAUAAGAUCUUUGAUUCUUGGCUGUUCUUGAUUGUUUUGGGGAUCUUAAUUUCCAGAUCUGAUUUGUUUUUAAUCUUAUUCUUUGUUUUGAUUUCAGAUCUGUUCGAUUAGAGCUUUUGUAGGAGUUUCUCGUGACUUGGCAACUCGAUCUUGGUCCGCGCGCAACCCCCAUAUCAUUUUGUUUUUGAAAUCUCAUUUUCAUAUUUUUCUUUUUCAAUUUUCUUUUCUUCAUUUUCUUUUUCUCUCACUUUUUCGUUUUCUUUUUUGUUUUCUUUUUCUUCUUCACUUUCUUUUUCAAAUUCAUUACAAUGUGUGGAUGACACAAAAGAAUCAAAAAGAUAACCAUUUGACUCAAAGAAAGAGAAAAUAUUUUCGUAGGCUUUUUGUCCAUUUCUUCGAGUACAAUCUUUUGGUAAGGCCUUCUUCGAAGUGUAUGAGGAAUAACUUGUCCUUUCUCGUUCGUCAUAUCGAAAAGUCACAUGCUCAAGGCUAUCACGCCUUGUAUUCCUUGACGAAUAGGAAUCCCGAUAAGAAUCUCUUAGCGAGUAGUCUUGGGACACGUAUUGCCAUGAUGAUCUCAACUCUGUUUCUUAACUUGGUGGAUUUUGUUUCCGUCGGGCCUUUGCCUCCACUCGAUCUAAACGUCUUUUUAAUGGACUUAGUUUUUCCUCCAACAUUCGGCCCAUCUCGUUCACCAAAUAUUGAAAUUCAUCAACGGAGAAUUCUUCUUGAGACAUGAUUAUUAACUGAAAGAAGAAAUGUUAAAAGAAUAAUAUCAGAGAAUUAGAUACCUCACCACAAAAUCUCGCAAGUCACUCAAAAAGAAAAUUUCACUCCACUCGGGUUUACACUCGCUUUGACUUUUCUUCUCUCAAAUGGUCUCACCAAUCGUUCUUGCCUUUUACCACUCUAGUUCGCGUCUCUAAGUUCUCAAUGGACUUCCUUAGACGAAUCAGCAAUCUGGGUGGAGUCAGCUUCAAUACUUAAUGUAAGGGUGGGAGUAGAUGUUGGGGCAAAAGGUAGGCUAGAAAACAAUUUUGGAGUGGUUUAAAGUGUAGUCGAAUGGUUAAGUAGUGAAUGAUAGUAGAAAAGAGUUUGUGGGUCGAAACUACAAGGAUGGUACAAACUUUUGUCACUUCACAGAACUUUAAAAUUCAAUUGGCAAGAACUGACCAUUUUUUUUUCAAUUCGAAUUUUUUUUAAGUCACCAAAAUGCCAAAUACAAAUAGAGAACUUCCAUCCACGAAUUUUUUUUACUUUUUUUUAUUUUUUCGAUUUUUUUUAAAUUUUUUUAAUCACUUUCUCCGGCAACUUCACAAACGUCCGUACUCCUCAAUUUUUGCUAGCUCUGAUACCAAAUGAUGCGACCCCGGCCUCGGUGAUGAGAGUCGAGUCGUUGAUGUGCCCGAUCGUUAAAAUUAAGGAGUAUGAUAGGUUUUCAAGUCGGGUUGAAAAGAACAAAUUGGCUGGAAACAAGAAAAUAUUUAAGUGAUUAAAGGAUGGAUAGGGUAGGUUCGAUUUCAAGGCUGAAGAAAGAACCGAUAUUAUAUGCAAUAUCGACCCAAAUAUUAUGUUAGCUUGAAAUGAUGAAAAACUGUUAAUCGUGACCCAAUAUCUAUGAGAGAUAAGAACCAACGAUAUAGGAUUGAACGCCACACUUUAGUAAAGUGAUAAGUUCGAAAUUGACAGGAUUAACGCCACAAGAAUGUCUUGAUAAGUCAAUGGAGUCAAGAGAGAACAAAGGGAGUUGAAAUACUCACCAAUUGAACAAAAGUUCAUAAUUGAUCAAAGUCUCAAAAUUAGUAACCUUCAAAUGAUUACAAAAACAAUAAUUUAUAGGCUGAAUAUGUUCCAGCCGAAUGAACUCAAAGCAAUCAGCUUAAUUACACUUAAUUGAACUCAAAUGGCUGUUGAAAUAACCAAAAAGUCAUUUGGAAACUUCUAUGCAUAGGUGACAUCAAUGGGCAGGUUGUUUAGUCUUCCAAUUCAGCUAAUAAUUGCACUAAUGAGCUGAAAUGAUUUUGUUCAAUGUUUGAUUAGCUGAAAACAUUAUGAGCAGCCUUUAAUUCCUCCUUGGGUAGCUAAAUAAGCAUCAGCCAAAUUAAUGGUAGUUUAAGCACACGAACAGCCCAAGUGUGUGAACACUUGAUGUCCAACAGCCUCCAAGUGUGGAUGAACGAAAAUGAAUAGCUCUUAUGGUGUGAAAAUGUUUUUGUGAGAUGAAUGGCCUUGUGUGAACAACUCUUUGUCCAUUGCUCUUCACGAACAGCCACUUGGAGAAGCUAAAAACUAUUGCUGGAUUUUUAAUUCAGCUCAUGGUCCAUUGAGCUUCACGAAUAGUCACAUGAAGAAAAGGAAUCAUCAACUCUCUUCAUAGCCAAUUCAUGCAUGUACCUGAAAGCAAUUUAAUUCAUAAAUUUAAUUCAUAUUAGGACACAUUUAAAUUGACAGCAACAAGACACAUUAAAUCUGCUCAUUAAUUCAGCUGGACUAAGACACAUUAAAAUGAUGUAAUAAGCUGAAUAAAUUCAUGUCAUGUGCUAACUAAGACAUAUUAAAAACAUGUAAUUAAUUUUCUUAAUCUAAGACACAUUAAAACAAAUAAUAACUUAGACACAAAUUUAAUUCAACCGCAGCUAAGACAAAUUAAUUAGAAUAUGAAAUUAAUUUGUCUCAACUUUAGACACAAUUUAAACACUUCUAAUUAAAAAGUCCAGAAUUAAAAUGCAAUUUAAUUAUUUAAGCUGAAUAAACUAAUUUGCAUUUAUUUUAUUCCAGCAACUAAAAUUAUAAAAUGCAAAGUAAGCUCAAACAAGCAAAUGAGCUCAAUGAGCUGGAAAUGAGUUGAAUUGAGCUCAACGAGCUGAGAUUAGGCUUCAUUUUGCACUUCGGCCCCUCAAGCUUAGGCCACCCUCGAUGACAUCGAGUUGGGUUGAAACAUGAUGCGACCAGGUUGAUACGAGUCACAAAAGCCCAAAUUCUUGAAGGCGAGGCCCAAUAAGCAAAUUCCCAGCCCAAUCAAGAAAUCCAUCCAUACUUAGUUGAAAAUCAGGCCAAAUUGUCAAAGUGGCCCAAGUUGUAAAGUUUUAUUUUUAUUUUUAUUUAUUUAUUUAUUUACUUACUUAGUUUAAAUUUUUAUGUCAAUAUUCAGUCCAAGAGUCCCAGAUAAAAUGACCUUUGACCAAAUUUCCAUAUUAAAAUAAUUAGAAGUUUUUUUUUAUUUUAGUUUUCUAAUUAGAUUAGGACUAGUUAUAAGGCCUAUUUAAAGGCAUGGCUGUCCACCUUGUUAAACACUUAUCAUUAUUAUUAAAAUUUCAGAUUUGUUGAGUGCAGAAUUUUCUUUGAGUUUUCUCCAAGAUUUCUCUCUUGAGUUUUCUUUAGAAGUUAUUUUAACAAUCUUUUUUAUUGUGGGAGCCAUCUUCAACCUUCUUCUUGCCAUUGAUAUUCUUUGGAGGGGAGAUUAGAGCCGUUUGAAGGGAGUUGUGAGAUCUUUCGAGAUUUCAAGGCUUCUUAGGACUUAUCUUUUAAUUUCUUACUGUCAAUUCUUUCUUUAUUUCUACUUGUGCUGAAUCAUUAUCUAAUCUAUUUUCUGCUCUUAUUGUGUUUUCAGCCUUUUUCUAUCUUAAGGAAUCAGCCCAAAAAUCCCCAAUUUCUAGGGUUUUUCCAUACUCUUUUUGGGUGAAAUUAGAUUGUCGAAAUUUGGGGAAAACUAUCUUGGUGUUCAAUUGGGCAGAAUCACAAUCUCCUUGAGGGUUUCAAGAACCCUAACACUUAUUUCUAUUCUCAAUUUGAUUCUUUGCUGAUUUGGGGAUUUUAUUUCAAAUCUAAAAAUUCAAAAAUCUAAUCUUUUAAUUUUCUGUUUCGUUUCAGAUCUAAUUGUUUAGGGUUUUCGUAGGAGUUUCUCGUGACUUGGCAACUCGAUCUUGGUCCGCGCGCAACCCCGUAUCAGGUAGGUUGAACAAAGAAGAAAAUUGGUUUAAAGUGUGGCGUUGGGAUGGGUAAAUAAUGGUAGGAAGGGAAACUUGAUGAUCAGAGUAAUAAGUGAUAAUGAAAAAAACUCGCAAGACUUUUCACUUUUUUUUCUUUCUUCUUUUUUUUUAACUCGAUUUUUUUUGUAACUUCUUUUUUUUUGAAUUUUUUUCCGAAUUUCUUCUCUUUUUUUUAAAUCCAAUACAAUAGUAAACUAAAUACAAGGAAGAAAAAAAUUAAAUUAAAUUCCAACUCAAAAUUUUUUUUGAUUUUUUUGACUUUUUUUUACGUUACGAACCUACUCCGAGCUUGAUACGAAUGUCGGCACUCCUUGUUUUAGUAGCUAUGAUACCAAAUGAUGUGAUCUGACUCGGUUGAUGGAGUCGAGUUCACUUAAGUUGCCCGAUCAUCGACGAGAAGUAUUGGUUGAUGUCGAAUGGAGAUAACUUUAUGGAGUUGUUUUAAGUGGAAGUAAUUAAAAGGGUUCAAAAAUGACUUGGUUUGGAGAAUGGAUAGGUUCGGUUUAACAAAGAAAAUAAAGUUUAAGUAGAUAGAUAAAAUGGAAUGGAAAUUGAACUCAAGCGAAGAACGAUUCAAUACUAUGUAAAGUAUUGCCCCGAGACUUAUAUUGCUUAAGGUGGGUUUAAUGGAAGUCGAAGAUGGACCUUGACCCGUUACCUAUAGAGAGGUAGGAACCAAAGGUAUAAAAAGGUGGAUGAACUGAUGCGAUCCCGGUCGCAUCAUGUUACGACACAACUCGACGCUACCGAGAUUGGUCCAAACUCGAGGGGCCCAAGUGCAAAAUGAAGUUUUUAAUUUUAGUUUGUCAAUUUGGCUGCUGGAAAAUAAGGACUAUGAUUCAUUAAUUUUUAGUUAUUUUAGUUUGUGUUUUUAAUUAUGUCAUAGUUUGCACAUCAUUAAUAUGUGUUCUGCAUUUAAUAAAGUCAUGCAUUAUUAACUUUCAUGUUAGUUAAGUUUGCAUCAUUAAAUUAAGUCAAGUUAGUUUAAUUAUGUAACUUUCAUGUUAGUUAAAUUUGCAUUUCAAAACCAUGCAUUUAAGCAUCUUAGUUUAAUAAAUGAGUUGCUGGACAUUUAUUCAACUCAUCUUAGUUUUAAUUAAUAAGUGUUUUUUUGCUGAACUUUAUUUAAUAAGUGUUGUUCUUAAUUGAUCUAGUUCCUAGGAUUAUUUAUUGAUGCAUAAAUUAAGUUUUUUAAAUUAUUCUUCUUUAAUUAAACUAGUUGCUGGAAUAAUUAUUGUAUAUAUGUUUUAGUUCAUUUAUUUAAGUAAGUUUAAUGUUUGUUAUGAUUAAUAAGUGUUUUCAUUUGUUUAAUAAACUCAUUUUAAUGUGUUUAUUGCAGGUGACUUUUUAGCUUAUAGUGGUUACAAUUCAAGGCUGUUACACAUUUAAUUAAGUGGCUGUUCAAGUUCUUUUGAGUUACAAUUAAAGGGGCUGUUAAAAAAGGAGCUUAAAGAUCAUUAAAAGGAGUUUUUAAAGAGCAUUUUAUGCCCUUUAAAAUUCAGCAGCAACUCUUCCACUUCCAGCCAUUUUUGGAGCUUUCAAGAGAAAUUAUUCAAGCCUUUGAAUGUCAUUAAGGAGCUGGUUAAGAGAUGGUGUCUAUUCAACUAGCCAAGGACAACUCAAGAGUCAUUUUCUAAGCCAUUAAAGACAUUCAAAUCAGCUGAAUUAAAGUGAUUUUAUGGAAGGAGUUAUUUGGUUCAAAGAAUAAGAAAAGACAUCAAGUUUUUUAUGGCACAUUAAGUGGAUGUUUUUGACCAUUCGGUUACCUUGUUUUAGCAUUAUAAAUAGAUGUAAUCAGCCAUAGAGAGAGGAACUUUUUUGCUGAAUAUAGAUGUUAUAUUUGAAUUGUGAGCUAUCCAAUUCUCUUUGUUCUUACGGAAUUGAUUUGACUUAUCAAGCAUAGCUUGUGGCGUCCAUCUUUUCUUUGUUUACCGAACUUAUCACCUUUGGUGUGACGUUCAAUAUACCUUUGGUUCCUAUCAUAGUUGAUAGUGGGUCAAGGUUCCUUUCCUGUUUCCUUUAACCAAUUUGAUACAUCACGUGACGAGUUUGUAUCAAAUUGGUAUCAGAGCUAGCGAAUGAUACGACCUCGGUUUAGUAGUCGAACCCGAGUCGUUUAGUUCCCGAUCGUAAACGAAGAAGUAUAUUAGACAAGAAGAAGAUAGAAUAUAUUUGAGUUCAAAGAAGUAAAGUAAGUCCGUGCAAAGUUGGAUAUGGAUUUGGUUUAAGUAGAAAUGGUAUGACUAGAAUGGUCGAGUUCGGUUUAGGAUUAAUUAAGAAAUGGUAUUUGGUUUUGGUACGUUUUGGUAUUUGGGAAUUGGUACGAAAUGGUAAGGGAUUUGGUACGAAAUGGUAAUGGUUCAAAAAGGUCAAGAGUGAACCAACACUAAAGAAAAGUGUCGACCCGAAACUUAUAGGACCAAAUUGAGUUGGAAAUGGUUGAUAAGGACCUUGACCCGAUACUUAGUAAAGUAUGAACCAAAGGUAUCAAAGGUGAACGCCACACUCGGGUUUAGGGAGUGAUAAGUUCGAAAGAAAGACUCGGAAAGACGCCACUAGAAGCUAGAUAAGUCUUACGGGUCCCGAACGAAAUUUGAGAGAAAAUGCCUCACAAAUUUGGCAGCAAUUCGUUACUUAAAAAUGUCAAAAGUCCUUUACAAAGUAAAAUUUCAGCUAUUUAUAAGCAACACCUAAGCUAGCCGAAUGGUCACUUACAUUCCUUAAAAAUUAAGCAAAUGAAUCACUUAAAUGAACUAGCUAGAUUCGGCUGAACAUGGAGCUCCAUUAGACACCUUCUAGAUGAAGCAUUGGACUUGGAAAAACUUGGAUGAUGCAUGGAUAGCUAGGUUCGGCCAAUGGGCAUAAAUUAGCUCAUUUAUGUUGCAACUUUUGGCUGAAAAGUGACCAGCAAUUAAGAGGGUAAUGAGCAGCCAAUUCAAGUGUGAAAGCUCAACAUUGAAGAGUCAUGGAGUGUGAACACAUGGAACCGAAAAGCCAAUAUCCAUCCAGCAAAUGUGAAAGGAUUAAUUGACAGCUUUGGAGUUGGAAACAUUAGCUCUCUUGACUGAAUAGUCACCUAGGAAUGCCAAAUUCAGCUCACCAAUUUGAUGCAUGUAUCUCCAGGUUCAUUGAAUCUAUUGUGCAUGCACCAAGCUUAAAUGCUCCAUCCACAUUCGGCCAACCUACAUAAAACAUGAAUGAGCUCAAAUUGAUGUAAUAUUGGCUGAACAUAAUUAAAAUAAAACUUUGACAAGUUAAUCAUAUUAAUUCGGCACUAAAAAUUUGCACAUAUAAUUUAGUUUGGACAAAACACAUUAAAACAUGUAAUAAAAUUUGACUCAUUAAAAAUGCAUAAAACAUAUUAAUAAGCUGUAAAAAUUAAGACAAACUAAUGACAUGUAAAAAUAACUCAAUUAAGAUGCAAAAUUAAAUUUCUCCAGAUUUUAAAUUAUGCAAACAACUAAAAUUAAUUGAGCUGUAAUAAACUAAUUAAAUUGACUCAAAAUAAUUAUUCAGCUACUCAAUUAAUGUCCAAUUGAUAUUGAGCUGAAUCGUAAGUAUUUGAGCUGAAAUUGAGCUGAUUCGAGCUCAUUGAGCUUGAAAGGAGCUGGAAACGAGCUAAAUGAAGCUCCACAAAAUAAGAUUGAGCUACGUCCAGCUUGCAAACACGACGAGCCUCGCUUGUAGGCUGAAACAAUAGCUGUUCCCGGGGGCGGGUCGUAUCAGCGAAUUUGGAGUAAGAAUCGACAUUGUCGGCAAUACGGUAUAGUAGUUUCUUCAAAAAAAAAUUUCGAAAAAAAAAUUCAAAAAAAAAAAUUGGUUUCCAUUCAAACUCAAGAGAUUGGAUAUCAAGUUGAAAAAAAAAAUUCGUGAAAAAAAAAUUCGUGAAAAAAAAAUUUCGUGAAAAAAAAGAAGCUAGUUUUGAAAUUUUGUUGUUGUUUGCUGCCCAAAUUAUAGUUAUUACUACCUUCUACUAUUUCGCCACAUCCAAUCUUUCAUUUCUUGAUUCAAGCUUACUUUCCUUUGUCCUACAAUAUUCUUACCAAGCCCAAACAUCAAGGUUGUAAGCCGACCCACAACAACUGCUUUUUAAGUUUAAAUAAUUCCUAAGAACUUAGAGAGGAGGAGUGAGUGGAAAGAGGCAAGAGAGUGGUGAGUUUAUUCGAGAGUAUAAAAGUCAAGUGUGUGAGAUUUCUUUGUGAGUGGAUAGUGAGAUUCUUUGUUGUGAGUUCUUAAAAAAAUGUCACGAAGUCUGGAAAAAGAUUUAGACAAGGGAGUUGGAUUCCGUCCUGUAAGAAUUGUUGGAGGAAGUGUGCCAGAUUUUACACUCCAAGCCUUUACGCAUGAAAUGGAGCAUCUAUUUGAUCGAAAACUCAAACCCAUCAAGAAACGAUUGGAUCGUGUCGAAGAGCGGAGUCAUCGAGCAAGAACCCAACGGGAGCAAAUUUAUCCAAAUGAAAGGACGGAAAUGAGAUCAUCAAGGAGACGAACAUUCGACGAAUAUGUGAAAAGAGACCCUUAUCCAGAUUCCUAUUCUUCAAGGAAUUUAGGCCGAAAUAAAUCCAGCUACAAGUUUGAAGCUUAUCAAGGUAACGAACGAGAAAGCACAAGUCAUUCUUCGUAUGCAACAAAGUAUUCAUCUACAGAAAAAUCCUUACGAAGAAGUGAAUGUGUCUCGUAUAAGAACUCAUCCAUGGAGGUUUAUUCACGAAGAGUUGAUCGUGACUCUUAUGAAGAUUCUUCCACUUCUUUCCAACGAAAAGUCUAUUGUCCUGAUUCUUUUGUAUUAUCGCCAUUUUGUAAUAAAGUUCAGAGAAGAAAAAGAGUGACGAGAGAAAAAGAAACUGAAAAAGAAACAAAAAUUGAAAAAGAGAAAAAGAUUGGAGAAAGAAAAGAAAGAGUGCGAGAAACAAGUGUUGUUGAAAAUGAAAGAGAAUUGAUGAGUGAAAGUGAGUUUUCAACAAACAAAGAGAUUGUGGGAAAAGAACGAGAAGUUGAAAAAGAAACGAGUGGAAAAGAUGAAAGUCAACAAGAAAAAGCGAGGAAUGUUUUUACUAACCAAUCUGCAAGUUGUCCUCGUAUUGUUUCUUCUUUCCAGGUUUCUAGAGAUUCAAAUGACAAGUUUCAACUUCAUUACCUUCUUGAUGAGAGACGAUUCCAUUUGAUCGAAAAAGGUAAGGUUCAAGCGCUUAAAGGUAAGCAAGGUAAGGAGUUUUUAGUCAAUGAAUCAUGGCAAUCAGGUUUGAAAGUUGUUGAUAAAAUCUCCGAUAACUUAGUUUUAAAAACAUCUCAUUAUUUUGAUUUGGUUAAUUGUUACUCGCUAUUUGUGGUUGAUAAAUUUGUUUUAAGUGGAGGCAUGAAGAGUUGUUCAUCAAUAAGUUUUGUGUUGAAAAAUCUUUUGAUGUUGUUCGAUUAAAUCCACAAAUACAAAAUCUGAUCAUGUUUGAUAAAGAGCUUUCAUGUGAAACGCUCAAUCUGUUUGAUCGUGAUGGUAAUGAAAAUUUUUUAACUCUUAGCGUGAGAUCUUCGUAUAUUUGCAUGAGAUUUGAGAGAUUUGAUUGUUUGAAUUUAUUUUUGCCUACAUCUUCUUUAUUUGGCAUGUGUGAUGUCUUGGUGAAAGUGAAGUUUUUGUUACGUUACGGAAUGACCGAUCAAAACCAUGUUUUUAAACCCGGAGCCUGUAUUCCUAAGUUGACGUCAAGCGAAGGUGAGUAUCAAAAUUGUAUUUUGAAUCAAUGUGUUGACCCCUUCUAUUUGCUUCAACUUUUAUCUUUAUUUAGUUCGAAAACCAAACAUGUUAAUUUCAUUGGCUUGCCAAGUCAAAAUCAAAUUUUUGAUUCUGGAGGUUGUUGUAUAUUGUUGCUUAAUGGAUUCAAACAUGUGUUGCAUGAUUUUAAUUUUAAUGUGCUUCAAGUUCUUCAUAAGUUACUAGCCACAAAUUUUUCUGGUCAAAUUGAAAUGGUGAACAAAAACUGUCUUUGAUCCCGGUGAAUGCUGUUCCAUAUCAUUGUUCAAGGGAUUUGGACCAUGGAAUUCUAAUUUUCAAAACUAUAAUCUUCAAAUACCUUGUGAAUCAGGUUUGUUUCCAUCGAAGAAAAAGGUAAAACCAAUUUCUAUUUUUGAUCCCAGUAUUGAUUCAUGUGUUGUUCUUUUGAGUUUAUUUGUUCAAGUUGUGACUAAAAUCCCAGAAAGUUCUUUUGUGUUUAACCUUCAUUGUGUAACUAAUUUGUUUUAUUGUUUUGUAGGUGACGAUGUUAGGUGGUACCCUCCUAAAGAGGGAUGGCAUGCAAAUAACCUUCUUUCUAGCCGAGCCAUUUGUGGUUCUCAAAAUUUUGAAAAUAAUUCUGUCCGGAUCAUGAACAAAGGGGGUCAUGAUCUUGAAAAUUUUUUCUCGAGGAAGUGGCCCGAUUUGAGGACAAAUCGUUUUCAAGAGGGAGGGUAUGAUGCGAUCCCGGUCGCAUCAUGUUACGACACAACUCGACGCUACCGAGAUUGGUCCAAACUCGAGGGGCCCAAGUGCAAAAUGAAAUUUUUAAUUUUAGUUUGUCAAUUUGGCUGCUGGAAAAUAAGGACUAUGAUUCAUUAAUUUUUAGUUAUUUUAGUUUGUGUUUUUAAUUAUGUCAUAGUUUGCACAUCAUUAAUAUGUGUUCUGCAUUUAAUAAAGUCAUGCAUUAUGUAACUUUCAUGUUAGUUAAGUUUGCAUCAUUAAAUUAAGUCAAGUUAGUUUAAUUAUGUAACUUUCAUGUUAGUUAAAUUUGCAUUUCAAAACCAUGCAUUUAAGCAUCUUAGUUUAAUAAAUGAGUUGCUGGACAUUUAUUCAACUCAUCUUAGUUUUAAUUAAUAAGUGUUUUUUUGCUGAACUUUAUUUAAUAAGUGUUGUUCUUAAUUGAUCUAGUUCCUAGGAUUAUUUAUUGAUGCAUAAAUUAAGUUUUUUAAAUUAUUCUUCUUUAAUUAAACUAGUUGCUGGAAUAAUUAUUGUAUAUAUGUUUUAGUUCAUUUAUUUAAGUAAGUUUAAUGUUUGUUAUGAUUAAUAAGUGUUUUCAUUUGUUUAAUAAACUCAUUUUAAUGUGUUUAUUGCAGGUGACUUUUUAGCUUAUAGUGGUUACAAUUCAAGGCUGUUACACAUUUAAUUAAGUGGCUGUUCAAGUUCUUUUGAGUUACAAUUAAAGGGGCUGUUAAAAAAGGAGCUUAAAGAUCAUUAAAAGGAGUUUUUAAAGAGCAUUUUAUGCCCUUUAAAAUUCAGCAGCAACUCUUCCACUUCCAGCCAUUUUUGGAGCUUUCAAGAGAAAUUAUUCAAGCCUUUGAAUGUCAUUAAGGAGCUGGUUAAGAGAUGGUGUCUAUUCAACUAGCCAAGGACAACUCAAGAGUCAUUUUCUAAGCCAUUAAAGACAUUCAAAUCAGCUGAAUUAAAGUGAUUUUAUGGAAGGAGUUAUUUGGUUCAAAGAAUAAGAAAAGACAUCAGUUUUUUUAUGGCACAUUAAGUGGAUGUUUUUGACCAUUCGGUUACCUUGUUUUAGCAUUAUAAAUAGAUGUAAUCAGCCAUAGAGAGAGGAACUUUUUUGCUGAAUAUAGAUGUUAUAUUUGAAUUGUGAGCUAUCCAAUUCUCUUUGUUCUUACGGAAUUGAUUUGACUUAUCAAGCAUAGCUUGUGGCGUCCAUCUUUUCUUUGUUUACCGAACUUAUCACCUUUGGUGUGGCGUUCAAUAUACCUUUGGUUCCUAUCAUAGUUGAUAGUGGGUCAAGGUUCCUUUCCUGUUUCCUUUAACCGAAAAACACCUAAAGACCAUUUUGAGAUUCGGGUCAACAAUUCGUUAUUGUUGGUUCAUUUUCGGUCUUAGCCAAUUAAUUUGUUAUUGUUUCCUCUUUAUUUUGUUUAUUACCUUUGUUUGAAGCCAUUAUCUCUAUUUUGUUUCAUUUUAAAACCGAAACGAAUCCAUCCUUACUCAAUUCACGAUUGGGCAACACAUACGACUCAAAACAUCACGUGACGAGUUCGUAUCAUAAACGCCACACCAGGAUGGUGAUAAGUUCAAGGAGUCGGGUUGAUGCCACUAGCGAGCUAGAUAAGUCAGAACGAGACUCGUACGAAAUAGGAUAGGAGGAAAACUCACAAUCAAGUUUAAUAAUCAGAAUUGUCUAACCUUUUUACAAAGAGAAAUGAACUAUUUAUAGAGUUUAGAUGAUAGCUGAAUAGUCAUACUAAACAAGCUUAAAGACUAAGUAAUUCGGCUUUAAAUGUGUAAAACUAAAAUAGAAAUGUAUCCAUUAAAAGUGAUGUCCAAAUUCGGCUGUAUGGAUGUUCAAUGGCCAACUUCAUGAGUAAGGAAAUGUACUUGAGGGCUGAUGAAUGCAUGGGAUGCCAAUAGCUUUGUCUAGAUUCGGCCAAGGUGUGAAUGGACACUUCAAAAGAUGUCUUUUGGCCGAAUAGGUGCAUAGGAAAUUCAAUGGUCAGCAACCAAUGCAUGUAGGUGGAUAUUCAUGCACUCUUCCAUUCAUUGUAUUGAAUCAUUCAUGCAUCAUCUUUAAGGCAACCAUUCGUUGUAGGUAGUCAUGCAUGUACCCGAACAUACAUUGAACCAGAAAUGUUCAUGAAUCCUCAUUAAUUGUGUUCCCACAUGUGGAUGUACCUACAAAAGAUAUAAACAAAUUAGAUUCAAGGUACAUUCACCUUAAAUUAAAUAAUAUCAAGACAUAUUUAACAAAUUAAAAUAAAGACAUAAAUAAAAUAUAAUUAAUAAUAAAUUCGGCUAGCUCAAUGAUAGUCAAAAUUCUUGAUGAGCUGAAUUGAGCUAGAAAAUUCGGUUAUGAGCUGUAGUAAAAAUAAUUAAAAUAAAACUAUCACUCAAAUUAUUCAAAUAAUAAAAUUAACGAGCUGGAAAGAAGCUAAAUUGAGCUCAAAUAGGUGGAAUUGAGCUCAAGUGAGCUGAUUAAAGUCGAAUUGAGCUAAGGGAGCUGGAAUUGAGCUGAAAUUAGCUUGCACUACGGUGCAUGGUUUCUUCAAGGAGUUGGAUCGAGCUUCCCCAUCUUCAACAAGCUGAUUCUCCUUCCAAAACUUGAACAAUAAAGCUGAAAUAGCUUCAUGAAUUUGCUUGGACCUAACUCGAGUCAUUGGUCCUUUUAGGAGCUCGAGGGAAACAAGAUUCAAGCUUGGUGGUGCUUGGGACGUGGUCACAUCAGCAACUUUAAAGAAUCCACCAAAUAGCUACUCACUACAUUCGAACAACUCCCACUAUCAAUAAUAAGUGAACAUAAGUUACCUUUAAUAAAACACCAAGAAUGGAAAAUAUUGGUCCUUUGGUUAUCAUCAUCUUUCAUCUGAAUGUUAAGGGUUCGGCGAACUACAAGGCAUUGAAAAUCAGCAAAGUCCCCUUCUUUUGGUGGUUCAACCAACUCUUCACCAUUAUCACUGUCAUCCACAAGUUCUGGCAUAUCUGGAUCUAUUUUAUCAGAGUCGGAAGUGUACUCACCAUUAUCUUUCAGAAGAAGUAAUCUCGUUUUAGGGCAUUCCCCACUAUAAUGACCACGCCCUUUGCACUUAAAGCAUUCAAUCUCAUGAGUCCUCUUCACACUCGAAUCACCUAAAUUGGGCUACUUAGAAGGUGUUUGUGUUUUAACAGGAGCCUCUUUUUUCCAAUCUGAUUGCUUACUUCCAUUACUCAAAGAAGACUUAUUAGUAACAAAAGGGGAUUUUGAACUUUUAAAAUCAGAAUGGGAAUUGUUACCUCGGUAAUAUUGUGAAGUAGAGAAGGAACCAAACCUUUGUUCCUUUAAUUGUUUCUCGAUCUUAAUGGCUUUGUGAACUGCUUCUUCCAAAUCAAUGUAAGUUUGUAGCCUCAAUGUAUUAGCUAUCGGCCUGUUCAAACCAUCAAUAAAUUGUACCAUAGUUGUUUCCACAUCCUCGUCCACAUUAGCUCUCUGAACAAGCAUUUCCAUCCCCUUAAAAUAUUCAUCCACCCUCCUACUACCUUGAACAAGUCUUCUAAGCUUUGUUUUAAUCUCUCUAUAGUAGUGAGGUGGAAUAAAUCUUUAACGCAUAAUCUGUUUCAACUCAUCCCAUGUCGAAAUCUCACCUUCAUAAUUCCAAUGACGAUUUACCCCAAGUUAAGUCCACCAACUUAAUGCAUAAUCUGAAAAUUCCAGCGUUGCUAACGCUACCUUUUCAUCAUCCGGAAAUUUAUAAUAUCGAAACAUAAGUUCAAUCUUAGAUUCUCAUUCACAAUAAGCUUCUGGAUCAUUCUUACCACGAAAUUGGGGAAUUGUGAACUUUGGUUUUGCCAAAGAAGGUUGCCCACGAUCAUGAAAAUCAGAAUUAGGAGGCUUGGACGGCAAGAUCUAUUGAAGAUUAUGACUAAGGGACGUUUCUUUAAUGCCAAGAAUGGUGCCGAACAGAUUCUUGAAGAUUGGAAUGGCUGAAAAUGCAACAAGAGAAAUUAAAUCAAGUUAAUCAACUAAUCGGCAUAAACAGAAACAACUAAAGAAGAAAGAACAGUAAGAAAGAUGAAUAAAGUCCUAAGAAGCCUUGAAAUCAAGAAAGAUUUCACAACUCCCUUCAAACGGCUCGAAUCUCCCCUUUGAUGUAGAACAACAGCAAGAAGAAGUCUGAAGAUGACUCCCACAAUCAAAAAGAUUGUUAAAAAUACUUCUAAAAAACUCAAGAGAGAAUUCUUGGAGAAAACUCAAAGAGAAUUUUUCACUCAAUAAAAAAAUCUGAUUUCAAUGUGUUGUGUCCAUGGGUGGCCGGCCAAGCCAUACAUAUAUAGGCCUACUACUACUUUCCUAACCCUAUUAGGAAAACUAAGAAAAAACCUAAUUGUUUGACUUUAAAAGGGGAAUUUCGUCCAAGGCCUUUAAAUGGGCCUCUUGGUCUGAAUUUUUACAUAGAAUUUAAUUCAUAAAGUCUAAUAGAAUUUAAUUCAUAAAGUCUAAAAUGUAAACUAAGUAUUUAAAGAAUUAAAACUUUACAAAUUGGGCCACUUUGACAAUUUGGCCUGAUUUUCAACUAAGUCUAGUUUGAACUUCUUGAUUGGGCUUGGAACAUCUUAUUGGGACGUGUCUUCAAGAACUUGGGCUUAUGAUCCAUUCUCUCUCGAAAUUGGUUCGUUGAUGCUCGUAACUGAGAUCUAAUGCGCCUUAGAUGCAAGAUUCGAUUUCUUGGACCAAGAUUUCCAAGAUUUGAAAUCUUGAUUUUCUUGAUUCUCGAAAUUGCUCAAAACAGCAAAACUGGACCAAGAUUUGGUUUCUUAAUUUGCUUGAAAACAAGAAAGUGAAUCUUGAUUUUCUUUUUCCUUUGUAUACGCAUCUAAGGCCUUGCUAAUGAAGUCUUGAAUGACUCCAUUUAGUUUCAUACGUAUUUGCCUGACCUUUGACCUCGUUAUUGGGCCUUGUGGUAAUUUGAGUCCAUCACGUCCUUGAGCUUGAAUUGGGCCUUUGUGACUCGUAUAAAAAACGCAUCAGUGAGCUGAAUAAUCUGCUUGGAAAGGUGCAACAGUAGCCACCUCUUAAAUGUCAUCUACCAUGUCUGAUAGAGGGUUGCACGUGGACCAAGAUCGAGUUGUCAAGUCACAAGAAAAAGUCCUACGAAAACUAUAGACACUUGGAUCUGAAACGGAAACAGAAAAUUAACAUUAGCAGCAAAAGAUCUAUAUAGAAACACCCCAAAACAAGAAAGAUUUAGCCAAGAGUCAAAACACUUAUUAAUAGGUUUUUUUGGAAGCAAAGAAACCGAAAUUUAACUUAGAAAGACUCCCAAAAACCGAAUGUUUAUUGACGCCAAAGAAUGUUGCCAAAACAGAUUCUUGAAGAUUGGAAUGGCUGACAACGCAACAAGAACAAUCAUGCCAAGUUAAUCAACAAUUCGGCACAAAUAAAAAUAAUUAAAGAAGAAAAAACAACAAGAAAGAUAAUUAAGUCCUAAGAAUCCUUGAAAUCAAGAAAGAUUUCACAACUCCCUUCAAACGUUAUACGAGCUCGUUUUGUAUGAAAUAACGAGUCGUAAUAUUUCCCGAUCGAAAUUAGGUAGUGUCGGCCUUGAAAUAAAUUCAAGUCUUGGUGUUUAAAAUUAAAUCGCUUUGGGAAACAAGGGAGUUUGAUGGAGUGUUGUUUGCUGGAUAUUUCAAUGAAAACAAAUCGAACCCUUAUUAGCAAAUAAGGACCCGGGGCUUAAGGUUUCAAAGAUAGGAAGGAUUUGGGAUAAAACCGUGACCCUCUAUUUAGCAAAAUAGGAACCUACGGUAUGAAGAACGCCACACCAAUGGUGAUAAGUUCGAAACAAAGUCAGAUUGACGCCACUUGUUGAAGAUAAGUCAAUUUGAGCUUUGGAGAAUAAAGAGAGUGAAUUGCCUCACUAAAAUGAUAUUUCAUUCAGAGAUUUGUCAAAAGUCCUUUUACAAUAAAUUGAGCAACUAUUUAUAGUCUAAUGUCUAGUAGCCGAAUGGACAUAUUCUAGACUUAAUUUCUAAGCAAAAAUUGAACAAAAAUUCAGCUUAAAUUCAUGUAUAUGCUUGCAUCAAGGUUCAGCUGAAUAGAGACCAUGGAAGAACUUUCAAUGAACUUGGAAAAAAAAAUGGCAGCAGCUACAUUCGGCCAAUGGAGUUUAAUGAGGUCAUUCAUGAAGCAACUAUUGAUGAAAAAUUACCAGCAUUAAUUGGCAACUUGAACAGCCAUUUAGAAGUGUGAAUGGACGGUUUUGAAGAGCCUUGAAGUGUGAACAUGGCUGAACCGAAUAGACAUAGUGUGAACAGCUUUUAUACGCCCUUGGGAAGAGAAUCGGCCAAGCUUGAAAGGAUGAAAAGCUUGAUCACUCUUGGACGAAUAGUUGCCUUGAAGAACACCAAAAUUAAUCAGCUUUUAAUGCAUUAGUUCAGCUGCACAUGCAUCUUCAAAUUCUUUGAAUCUCCAUGCAUGAAUCUGUCCAAUUCAUCUCCAAAUUCGGCUGCACCUAAAAAUAAACAUGAACUUAAUUAAUUUCAAGCAAAUUCAUCUGAACUAAAUUAAAAUAUAAUGUGAACAUCCUAAAUAACAUUGAGACAACUUAAAUAUUAACAAAUCAUAACACAUAAAUUCGGCUAGACAAAUUUAAAACAUGUAAUAAUUUAGACAAACUAAAUGACAUCAAGACAUCUUUAAUUUAACUAAAUCAAGACAUAUUAAACACUUAAAUUAAUUAAGACAUAUUUAAAAGCUGUAAUGAAACUUAUUUAAAUGUUUAUUUAAAUGGUCUAAAUUCCAGUCAUCAAAUUAAUUAGCUAGAACGAAAUUCAGCUUCAAAGAAGUUGAAUAUGUUCAGCUCGUUUUUAAACUCCUUGCUAUCAUUUUCCUCAACCCGUUCCACCAUUGCUAAAAUAGCAUCUUUGAAUUGUUUAGCUCUAGCUCGCGUUAUUGGACCAAUGGGCAGCUUAAUGGCUUCUUGUUCGUUCUCCAUUUGGUUCGUAAGCAAGCUCACAUCAAAACGGCUCGAAUUUACCCUUCAAUGUAAAAUCACGGCAAGAAGAAGACUGAAGAUGGUUCCCACAAUGAUGUGAGCCAGCUCAAUUGAUGGAGUCGAUUCACUUGAUUUCUCGAUCUUCAACAAGAAGUUUCAAGCAAUAUUGGAUGGAGAUUGACUUCUGAAGUUGUUUAAGUGGAAGUAAUUAGAAUGGUUUCAAAAAUAUGGCUUUUGGAAAUGAAUAGGUUCGGUUUUAACAAAGAAAAUAGCUUGUAGGUUGAUAGAUUAAAAUGGAAUGGAAAUAUGAACCCAAGCAUCAAGAUCGAUUCAAUACUUUAUGGAGUAUUGCCCCAGGACUUAUAUUGGUCAAGGUGGGUUAAAUGGUUUAUCAAAGAUGGACCUUGACCCGUUACCUAUAGAGAGGUAAGAACCUAAGGUAUAAAAGGAUAGACAAUGCCACUCUAGAAAGGUGAUAAGUUCAAGGAGUCGGGUUGACGUCAUUAGCUAGCUAGAUAAGUUAGAACGAGACUCAAACGAAAUAAGAUAGGAGGUAACCUCACAAUCAAGUUUUGAUAAUAAAAAAUGUCUGACCUUGUUACAAAGAGAAAUAAACUAUUUAUAGAUUACAUAUGAUAGCCGAAUGGACAGAAUAGACAAACUUAAUGACUAAGUAAUUCCGUUUUAAAUGUGUCAAACUAAUCUAGAAAUGUAUCCCUUAAAAGCUAUGUCUAAAUUUGGCUGAAUAGAUCUUCAAUGGGCAGCUUCAUGGUUAAGGAAAUGAACUUGGUGGCUGGUGAAUGCAUGGGAGGCCAAUAGCCUUGUCUAGGUUCGGCCAAAGUGUGAAUGGACACUCUAAAAGAUGCCUUUUGGCUGAAUAGAUGCAUAGAAGUUCAAUGGACAGAAACUGAUGCAUGUAGGUGGAAAUUCAUGCACUCUCCCAUUCAUUGUAAUGAAAUAUUCAUGUACCAUCCUUAAGCAUCCAUUCGUUGAAGGAAGUCAUUCAUGCACCCACACGUACAUUGAAUAAAAAAUGUUCAUGAAUCUUCAUUAAUUGUAUUCCCACAUUCGACUAUACCUACAAAAGCCAUAAACAAGUUAGAUUCAAGUUACAUUCAGCUUAGAUUAAAUAAUAUCAAGACAUAUUUAACAAAUUAAAUUAAAUACAUAAAUAAAAUAUAAUUAACAAUAAAUUCGGCUAGCUCAAUGAUAGUUGAAAUUCUUGACGAGCUGAAUUGAGCUAGUCAUGAGCUGUAGUAAAAUAAUUAAAAUAAAACUAAUACUUAAUUUAUUUAAAUCUAAAUUGAGCUCAAGUGAGCUGAUUAGAGAUGAAAUGAGCUAAGGGAACUGAAAUUGAGCUAAAGUCAGCUUGCACUAAAGUGCAUGGAUUCUUCAAUGAGUUGGCUCGAGCUUCUCCAUCAUCAAGGAGUUGAUUCUCCUUCCAAAGUUUAAGAAAUAAAGCCGAAACAGCUUCUUGGAGUCGCUAGGACCUAGCUUGGGUCAUUGGUCCCUUUGGGAGCUCGAGGGAAUCAAGACGAGUACUUGGUUGAGCUUGGGGUGUGGUCACGUCAUUCCCCCUUCUUCAAACUGACUUGUCCUCAAGUCGAGCGUUUUGUUCACUAGAAAAUAUUUCUUCUUAUGUGAUUCUCUUUGGACAAAUGGGGCGAAUAGUCUUUCAUAAACCUUUGCAAAAGAACUCACAAUAUUCGACAAUAGAGAUGGCAAAUGAAUCAAUGGAAAUGGAUAGCCAUUAAUCAUCAAGAAGUUAUCAAAAUAAUCAUGCAAAUCAUGCAUAAUCACAUCAAGACAAGUAUGAGUCAAGUAAAAGGGCAGAUUUAAAACAUCAUUCUUACAAUCAAAUGAACAAAACAUCUUACAUGUCAAUAGCUCGUCAAAUGAUUGAAACAAAGACAAAUAUGCUUUUAAGCAUUCGAACAUUUCAAUUUGCUUCCACAAGUCAUUGUUUAAGUAAAUGAAAUGUGAGCAAUGAGUCAAGAAAUUUAAGCCUUCAUCACAUUUUCCAGAAACAAAAAUCUUCUUAUCAUCAACUAAAACAGUUUUAUCCUCAUCAAGCAAAAUUGAACAAUAAACCAUAGUAGGAUUGAAGCAAUUUUCAGCAUUCAAAGUGUCAACAAAAAUUUCAUCAUCAUUCCAAUAAAGGGAAAAUGGUCGAAUAACUUCAGAAAUCAUACCUUGCUCCUCAUGAAAAGUAAAAUUUUUAAAUUCAGGAAUACCUCCUUCAAUCAUUUUAAACCUUCUCUUUUCGGAAUUGUAAUGUAGUCGGGGGCGCCUUCGUUGAAUUCAUCUGGAAUGAAGAAAUAAGAAAACAAUGGUUAUUUAAUACUUCUUUCUUUUUCUCACUCACUUUUCUUUUGCUUUCUUUUCUUUUUCAAUGCACUCUUUUUCUUUUACUUGUUCCAUGGAUCACUUAAGGCGUUGUUGGUCUUCCAUGACUUGCUGUGGAGACAAGGGUAUUAACGUAACAUUUUUACCCUUAUGUUGAAACGAGUAUUGCUUAGAAAAUUCGUCAUGUUUGACUCGUCGAUCAUACUGCCAUGGCCUUCCAAGUAAAAUAUGACCCGCAUGCAUGGGUACAACAUCACAUAACACUUCAUCAUGGUAACUUCCAAUGGAGAAUGAUAUCAUUGCUUCUUAGUAACCUUUAGUUCGACCCCUUCAUUGAGCCAUUGCAAUUUGUAGGGGAUGGGAUGCUUGAUAGUCUGCAAGGCAAGCCUGUCCACCAUGUACGUGCUUGUGACAUUUGUGCAACUUCCACCAUCGUCACAAUGCUACAAACAUUUUCUUUGACAUGUCCACGUGUAUGGAACAAAUUUUCACGUUGUAGUUCAUUCGUAGAGCUUUGGGCACUAAGGCUUCUUUUGACUACUAGCAUCUCUCCUUCAACGGCAAAUGCUAUUUCAUCUUCAUUGUCGGAUAGAUUUUCAGCUUCUUCCUCAUUUUUGUCUAAUUCCUCCUCCGACUCGAUAUCACCAUUUGGCCUUAUAAUCAUUGCAUUCUGAUUUGGACAUUGACUUGCUACAUGACCUCUUCCGAGACACUUAAAACAUUUUAUAUCCCUUGAUCAAUUUUGUAAAGUAUCAACAACUUUACCUUUGCUAGAUUCGGCUAUUGGCUUGGUUGUUUUUGAUAGUGCAGUUGAUAGAGGGUUGCGCACGGACCAAGAUGAUGUGAGCUUGCCUACAAACCUAGUAGAGAAUGAACAAGAAAACAUUAAGCUACCUAUUGGUCCGAUAACGUGAGCUAGAGCUAAACGAUUCAAAGAUGCUAUUUCAGCACUUGUGGAAUGAAUUGAGGAAAAAGAAAACAAUGAGCUUAGAGAUGAGCUGAACAUUUUCAACUUCUUUGAAGUUGAAUUUCGUUCCAGCUAGUUAAUAAAUUGCUAGAAUUUUUGGACCAUUUAAAUAAGCUUUAAUUUAGUUUUACUACAGCUUAUAAAUGUGUCUUUAAUUAAUAUAAGUGUUUAAUAUGUCUUGAUUUAGUCAAAUUAAAGAUGUCUUGAUUACAUUUAGUUUGUCUAAAUUAUUACAUAUUUUAAAUCUGUCCAGCCGAAUUUAUGUGUUAUGAUUUGUUAAUAUUUAAGUUGUCUCAAUGUUAUUUUGGAUGUUCACAUUAUACUUUAAUUUAGUUCAACUGAAUUUGCUUGAAAUUAAUUAAGUUUAUGUGUGUUUUUAGGUGCAGCCGAAUUUGAAGGUGAAUUGGACAGAUUCAUGCAUGAAGAUUCAAUGGAUGUAAAGAUGCAUGCAUAUUGGGUUCAUGCACCUAACGAUACAUGCAUGGAAUGCAUUAAAAUUGGUGUGCUGAUUUUUAAGUUUUCUAUGUGUCCAUUCGGCCAAAAGAGAUGAUUGUUCAUUAUCCAAAGCUGCCAUUUAUUUCCUUCACAUUGCUAGAAAUCUUUUGGCCAUUCGGUUCAAGGUGUUCACACUUUAAGGCUCUUCAAAACCGUCCAUUCACACCUGAUAUGGCUGCUCAAGUACACUCUUUAUUAUUGGUAAUUUUUCAGCAAGAGUUGCCUCUUGAAUGCUCAUUUAAACCCAUUAGCUGAAUGUAGCUGCUACAUGCAUCUCCAAGAUCCAUUUGCUUAAGGUGGAAGCUUCAUAGUUGGUCACAAUUCAGCUGAAUCUACAUUGCCCCAUAUUCAUGAAGUUAAGCUGAAUUUUAGUUCAAUGUUUACUUAGAAAUUAAGUCUUGAACUUGCUAUUCGGCUACUAGUUGAAAGUCUAUAAAUAGUUUCUAUUUUUCUUGUAAAAGGACUUUUGACAAAUUUCUGAAUGAAAUAUCAUUUUAGUGAGUUAAUUCACUCUCUUUAUUCUCCAAAGCUCAAAUUGACUUAUCUUCAACGAGUGGCGUCAAUCUGACUUUGUUCCGAACUUAUCACCGCUGGUGUGGCAUUCUUCAUACUGUAGGUUCCUAUUUUGCUAAAUAGAGGGUCUCGGUUAUUAUCCUAAUUCCUUUUCUUUUCUUUGAAACCUUAAGCCCGGGUCUUUAUUUGCUAAUAAGGGUUCGACUUGUUUCAUCAAAAUAUCCAGCAAACAACACUCUAUCAAACUCCUUUGUUUCCCAAAGCCAUUUAAUUUUAAACACCAAGACUUGAAUUUUGUUUCAAAACCGACACUACCUAAUUUCGAUCGGGAAAUAUUACGACUCGUUAUUUCUUAAGAAACAAGCUCAUAUCACAAGAUCGAGUUGCCAAGUCACGGGAAAAUUCUACGAAAACUAUCGACACUUAGAUCUGAAACGAAAAUAGAAAUUAGAAAAUUAAACUUAAAAGACCCUGGAAACCAAAUUGAAAUAGAAUGAUACUUGGGCGACAAGAAAGGAUGAAUAAAGAACGUUUCUUGAUAUCAAAGAAUGUUGCAAAACAGAUCCUUGAAGCUUGGAAUGGCUGGAAACGCAACAAGAACAAUUAAACCAAGUUAAUCAACAAUUCGACACAAACAAAAAUAAUUAAAAAAAUAUCAAACAACAAAAAAGAUGGAUAAAGUCCUAAGAAGCCUUGAAAUCAAGAAAGAUUUCACAACUCCCUUCAAACGGCUCUAAUCUUCCCUCCAAUGUAAAAACACGGCAAGACGAAGGUUGAAGAUGGCUCCCACAAUCAAAAAUAUUCUUAAAACUACUUCUAAAGAAAACUUAAGAGAGAAUUCUUGGAGAAACUCAAAGAGAGUUUUCACUCCACAAAAAAAAUCUGAAUUCAAUAUAUCAUGUAUAAGGGUGGCCGGCCAAGCCAUAUAGGCCUCCUAACUACUUUCCCAUCCCUACUAGGAAAACUAAAAAAAAACCCUAAUUGUUGCCUUUCAAGGGAAUUUCGUCCAAGGCCUUUAAAUGGGCCCCUUGGACUGAAUUCUUACAUAGAAAUUUAUUCAUAAAGUCUAAAAUUAAAACUAAGUAUUUAAAGAAUUAAAAUUAUACAAAUUGGACCACUUUGACAAUUUGGCCUGAUUUUCAACUAAGUCUAAUUUAAACUUCCUGUUUGGGCUUGCAACAUCUUAUUGGGUCGUAUCUUUAAGAACUUGGGCUUGCAAUCUGUUCUCUCCCGAAAUUGGUUCGUUGAUGCUCGUAACUGAGAUCCAAUGCGCCUUAGCUGCAAGAUUCAGUUUCUUGGACCAAGAUUUCCAAGAUUUGAAAUCUUGAUUUUCUUGAUUCUUGAAAUCACUCAAAAUAGAAAAAUUGGACCAAGAUUCGGUUUCUUAAUUUUCUUUUUCCUUUGUAUACGCAUCUAAGGCCCAAUUCAAGCUCAAGAACGUGAUGGGCUUAAAUUACCACAAGGCCCAAUAACGAGGUCAAAGGCCAGGUAAAUGCGUACAAAACUAAAUGGAAUCAUUCAAGACUUCAUUAGCAAGGCCUUUGAUGCAUAUACAAAGGAAAAAGAAAAUCAAGAUUCACUUUCUUGUUCUCAAGAAAAUUAAGAAAUUGAAUCUUGGUCCAAUCUUGUUGUUUUGAGUGAUUUCAAGAAUCAAGAAAAUCAAGAUUUCAAAUCUUGGAAGUCUUGGCCCAAGAAACCGAAUCUAUAGCUAAGGCACAUUGAAUCUCAGUUACGAGCAUCAACGAACCAAUUUCAGGAGAGAACGGAUUAAAAGCCCAAAUGCUUGUAGAAACGGCCCAAUAAGAUGUUCCAAGCCCAAUCAAGAAAUUUAAAUUAGACUUACUUGAAAAUCAGGUCAAAUUGUCAAACUGGCCCAAUUUGUAAAAUUUUAUUUUUUUAAUGAUAGAGGAAUGCGCACGGACCAAGAUCGAGUCGUCAAGUCACGGGAAACUCCUACGAAAGCUCUAAACGAACAGAUCUGAAAAUUAAAACAAAGAACAAGAUUAAAAGCAAAUAUAAAUUGAAUUGAAAUUCCCCAAAAAUUCAAUUAAAUGAGCAGCAAGAAACAAAAAAAUAGAAUAAGCGAAUCAAACGGAAUUGAAAGUAUGGAAAGGAUACGAAUCUGCCAAGGGAUUGAUUCGGCCAAGAAUGCCUAAUUUCCAGCAAUCAAUUGAUCCCCAAAUUGAAAGAGAGCCAAUCGGCCAAACCCUAGGAAUUGGGGAUUUUUGGGUUCGAAUGGGUGCUGCCAAUAGGAGAACAACUUAAAUGAUGAGAUCUUGAGUUUAAUCAAUGCUGGAAAACAAACAAGAACAGCAAAAUAUUAGAUGAGAAAUCGGCACAAGUAUAAGCAAAGAAAAGUAAAGAAAGAAAUCGAAAACAGCAAGAAUUAAAGGAUAAGACCUAAAGAUCCUUGAAAUCCCGAAAGAUUUCACAAAUCUCUUCAAACGGCUCUAAUCUCCCCUCCAAAGAAUAUCGAUGGCAAGAAGAAGGUUGAAGAUGGCUCCCACAAUCCAAAGAUUGUUAAAACAACUUCUAAAGAAAACUCAAGAGAGAAUUCUUGGAGAAAACCCCAAAGAAAAUUCUGCACUCAACAAAUCUAAAAUUUGAUAGAAAAAUAAUAAUAAGAUGUGUUUACAAAGGGUGGCUGGCCAAUGCUUAUAUAGGCCUCCAACAAAUCCUAAUCUCAUAAGUAACUAAUAAAAAUUAAACCUAAUUAAUAAAAUAACAAGGUAAAUUCGGCCAUGCACUUAUAUGGGCUGUUUUGGGCCGAAUUUUACAUGUAAUGCUCCUAAAGAUUAAAAAAUUAAAUUAAACAAGUAAGAUGUUUACAAAUUGGGCCCUUUGACAUUUUGGCCUGAUUUUCAACUAAGUAUGAAGAAAUUUCUUGAUUGGGCUAAAUUUUGGUUAUUGGGCCUCGCCUUCAAGAAUUUGGGCUCGUGAUCCAUCUCCUACCAAAAUUGGGUCGUUGACGCUCGUAAUGGAGAUCCAAUACGUUUUGGCUGCAAGAUUUGGUUUCUUGGACCAAGAUUUCCAAGAUUUGAAAUCUUGAUUUUCUUGAUUCUUGAAAUCUCUUCGAACAGCAAAAUUGGGCCAAGAUUCAGUUUCUUGAUUUUCUUGAAAACAAGAAAGUGAAUCUUGAUUUUCUUGUUCUCUCGUGUAUGCAUCUAAGGCCUUGCUAACAAGCUCUUGAAUGGUCCCAUUUAGUUUGGACCGCAUUUGUCGGACCUUUGAUCUUGUUAUUGGGCCUUGUGGCAAUUUGAGCCCAUCACGUUCUUGAACUUGGAUUGGGCCUUUAUGACUCGUAUCAUUCCCCCCUUCCUCAAAAAGAUUCGUCCUCGAAUCUGAAAAAUCAAAUGGGGAUAAGUCAGCCACAUUAAAAGUAGAACUUACAUUGUACUCACCAGGUAGAUCAAAUUUAUAGGCAUUAUCGUUGAUCCGCUCGAGUACUUGGAAAAGCCCAUCGCCCCUUGGGUCCAACUUAGUCUUCCUUUUUGUAGGAAAUCGUUCUUUCCUCAAAUGGACCCAAACCCAAUCUCCGGGAUCUAGUACAACCCGUUUGCGCCCCUUGUUUGCUUUGUUGGUGUUGGCAUCAUUUGUUUUGGCUAUUCGCUGUCUAGCCUUCUCAUGUAAGGAUUUCACCAACUCAGCUUUCUGUUCGCCAUCUAAAUUCAUAACGUGUUCAAGAGGUAAUGGCACAAGAUCAAGUACUGUUAGUGGGUUAAAACCAUAAACAAGUUCAAAUGGGGAAUAACCAGUUGUAGAAUGAAUAGAUCUAUUAUAUGCAAAUUCAACGAAUGGUAGGCAUUCUUCCCAAUUUCUAAUGUUCUUUCCCACAACAGCUCGUAAUAGAGUCCUUAAGAUUCGAUUAACUACUUCAGUUUGACCAUCAGUUUGGGGGUGACAUGUAGUAGAAUAAAGCAAUUUAGUACCAAGCUUACCCCACAAUACCUUCCAAAAGUGGCUAAGGAAUUUGACAUCUCUAUCAGAAACAAUUGUUUUAGGGAUGCCAUGAAGUCUUACCACUUCUUUAAAGAAUAAGUCAGCCACAUGUGUAGCAUCAUCUAUUUUGUGACAAGGAAUAAAAUGUGACAUCUUUAAAAACCUGUCAACAACAACAAAUAUACUAUCUCUUCCUUUUUUUGUUCGAGGCAAACCUAAAAUAAAAUCCAUGGAUAAAUCUACCCAAGGUGAAGUAGGAAUCGGUAGAGGAGUGUAAAGGCCAUGAGGCAUUACCUUAGAUUUUGCUUGUUUGCAUGUAAUGCACUUGGAACAUACCUUUUCCACAUCCUUCUUCAUAUGUGGCCAAUGGAAGUGUUCUUGCAAUAUGUCUAGUGUUUUGGCCACUCCAAAAUGUCCCAUUAAUCCCCCACUAUGGGCUUCAUGAAUCAACAAUUCUCUCAUGGAACACUUUGGUAUGCAUAAUGUAACACCCCGUACCCGAGACCGUUGCCGGAGUCAGACACGAGGGGUUCACAGACUAAAUUCGCUUACUAUCGCAGUCCAUUUUAAAAUUUUUCAGGCAGUUGGCUAACUGUGACACUGUCACCUUAAAAAUCAUAUCUUGAGUUUCACAACUCGAAAAUCAGUUUCGUAAUUUUUACCUGAAACUAGACUCAUAUAACCUUCUACAUAUUUUUUUCUAGAAUUUUUGGUCUGGCCAAUUAGUACAGUUUAUUAGUCAAAGUCUCCCAUGUUACAGGGAUCGACUACACUGACCUUUUCACAUUACGACUUGGAUAUAUCCCUGCACAGAGCUUCAAUACUGAUGCCGUUUGUUUCUAUAGAAACUAGACUCAGAGAGGAAUCUAUAAAUAUAUGGCAUGACUCCUAAUUAUCUCUGGUUAAUUUAUAAUGAAUUUCCAAAGUCGGAACAGGGAAUCCAGAAACCGUUCUGGCCCUGUCUCACGAGAACCUGAAUAUCUCUUAACAUACUGUCCAUAUGAUCAUUUCGUUACUUUUCUAUGAAAAUAGAUUCAUCAAGGUUCGUUUACAUAAUUUAUUCAUUAUUUAAUUCCAAUCCUACUAUUUUUAGUGAUUUUCCAAAUCUACAUCACUGCUGCUGCCAGCAUCUGCCUUUAAGGUAGACUUUACCUAUUUCAUAGUUUCCAUGAUUCAACUAGCCCUUUUAGCAUGAAUAGCACAAAUUAUGAUAGUGAUUAACCAUUCCAUACCAAAUGAUUAUAACAUUAUGCUCAAACAUAUAUAAGCCAUUUUCGCAUGGCUAUAUACAUUAACCAAAAUAUUCUUCCGCCACUAGUCUAUUUUAUACAUGCCAUAAGAUAAUCCAAAACAUAGCAGUACCAAACAGUGGAUAGUGAUAGUGUGACUAGUUGCUGACGAUCCCCGAGCCUGUAGCUUCGCAAUGAGAUCUAUAAAACAGAGGAAACAGAGUAAACAGAGUAAGCAUUACAAUACUUAGUAAGUUUUAAGCAGUGUCAACAGAUAACAAUCAAAUUAUAACAUAGUUGUUCGAAUUUUUAUUUCACUCUUCCUUCGGGCAUACCAUCCCUUUACCGAAUAUGCACAUCUCAUCAUAUACAAUAGGCAGAUAAACUUUCACAUAAAAGUGAGCUCAUGUGACAUAGAUAUAUCGUAUGAUUUCACAUAACCUCUCACUCUGAUCCGAUGUCACAUAAUCAUAGGAAUAGUCUCAUAGAUUGCUCUCGUAUGCGUCACAUAACUACCUUAUUAUUUAGUGCAAAUCAAGCUCACAUAUAAACUUGGAGUACAUACCUGUUUAACCUUUCGCAUUGAAUAUAUUUAUAAGCAAUUCUUAUUACGAAGUCUUACCCGGACAUAAUCUCCACACGAAGUUAUCGGGUCUUACCCGGACGAAAUCCCCACACGUAGUCAUCGGGUCUUUAGAGCUCGGAUAUAGUACGAGCACGAAGCUUACGGACAUUAAUCAGUGAUAAUAUUCUCGCAUAAAGCCUGCGGGGUUUUAACCCGGAUAUAGUACUGACACAAAUGCCCUUCGGGACUUAUCACAUUCAUCACAUCGGCCAUUAGGCCCUAUCACAUAUAUACACACUUUCACAUUCAUCACAUCGGCCAUUAGGCCCUAUCACAUAUAUAUACACUUUCACAUUCAUCACAUCGGCCAUUAGGCCUUAUCACAUAUAUACACUUUUACAUUCUCAAAGUAAGCUAUUUUAGCUUAGUUAUAAGCAAUUUAAACAAUUUAAAAGACAUUAAAAACUCAAUUUGAGUAACCAAGUGAUACGAGAUCAAAGGCCCGACAAAUGCGUUCCAAACUAAAUGGGACCAUCCAGGAGUUUGUUAGUAAGGCCUUAGAUGCGUACACAAAAGAAAGGGAAAAUCAAGAUUUCAAAUAUUGGGAAUCUUGGUCCAAGACACCAAAUCUUGCAGCCAAAGCGCAUUGGAUCUCCAUUACGAGCAUCAACGAUUCAAUUUCGGUAGGAGAUGGAUCACAAGCCCAAAUUCUUGAGGGCAAGGCCCAAUAAGAAAAUUCCCAGCCCAAUCAAGAAAUCCAUCCAUACUUAGUUGAAAAUCAGGCCAAAUUGUCAAAGUGGCCCAAGUUGUAAAGUUUUGUUUUUAUUUUUAUUUAUUUAUUUACUUAGUUUAAAUUUUUAUGUCAAUAUUCAGUCCAAGAGUCCCAGAUAAAAUGACCUUUGACCGAAUUUCCAUAUUAAAAUAAUUAGGAGUUUUUUUUAUUUUAGUUUUCUAAUUAGAUUAGGACUAGUUAUAAGGCCUAUUUAAAGGCAUGGCUGUCCACCUUGUUAAACACUUAUCAUUAUUAUUAAAAUUUCAGAUUUGUUGAGAGCAGAAUUUUCUUUGAGUUUUCUCCAAGAUUUCUCUCUUGAGUUUUCUUUAGAAGUUGUUUUAACAAUCUUGUGAUUGUGGGAGCCAUCUUCAACCUUCUUCUUGCCAUUGAUAUUCUUUGGAGGGGAGAUUAGAGCCGUUUGAAAGGAGUUGUGAGAUCUUUCGAGAUUUCAAGGCUUCUUAGGACUUAUCUUUUAAUUUCUUACUGUCAAUUCUUUCUUUAUUUCUACUUGUGCUGAAUCAUUAUCUAAUCUAUUUUCUGUUCUUAUUGUGUUUUCAGCCUUUUUCUAUCUUAAGGAAUCAGCCCAAAAAUCCCCAAUUUCUAGGGUUUUUCCAUACUCUUUUUGGGUGAAAUUAGAUUGUCAAAAUUUGGGAAAAACUAUCUUGGUGUUCAAUUGGGCAGAAUCACAAUCUCCUUGAGGGUUUCAAGAACCCUAACACUUAUUUCUAUUCUCAAUUUGAUUCUUUGCUGAUUUGGGGAUUUUAUUUCAGAUCUGGAAAUUCAAAGUUCUAAUCUUUUAAUUUUUCUGUUUCGUUUUGGAUCUGAUUGUUUAGGGUUUUCGUAGGAGUUUCCCGUGACUUGGCAACUCGAUCUUGGUCCGCGCGUAACCCCGUAUCAUUUGGUAUCAGAUUUUGGGCGUUUUGGGUGUUCUUGGUUUAUUUCUAAACUGAUCUCUAUUUUUUAAAUUACAAACAGCAGUUUUACCCAGAAAAAUUUUCGAAAAAAAUUCAUUUGAGUGGGUAAACGUUUUCUGAUUGAUCUGAAAUUUUACAUACAUAUUUUUGGCACUGUUAUUGAAUAUACAAAAAUAUUUCCCGCAAAAAAAUAAGUCGAAAAAGUCAAAAAAUUGAAAAAAGACGAAAUCCAAUAAAAAAUUAAAAAAAUAUUCAGCGGGUUGAAUUUGGUGCCCAAAUUUUCCAGAUAAAAAAUUCAAUAUUUGAAGACAUUCCAGAUUUAAUUUCGUGAUUUUUUGAGAUCGGGAACACCUCGAACGAAGUUGUCAAGUUACUCCGCAGUUUUUCGGGUUUUCUGUUUUCAGCAAUUUUUAUUGAUUCUUAGCUGUAGGUUUUCAUUUGUUUGCUUUUUAUUCUCCCUUUACAAGAUCUAACACCUUCUUGUUUUUUUGUGUUAGUAGGAUUUAAACGUGUGCCCAAUUCUUCCUCGGUGCAACACGAAUCAAUUGGUGUCUCGUCAGUUUUUGGCAUCCUAGUGCAAAUUAGGAUUCUUUGGUAGUUUGGUUCACACUCUCUAAUUGGUUGAUAUAAACUCUGAUAAAGAACUCACAAGAUUGAAUUCGACCUCAUUGAGAAUUUUUGAGUGAUUAAUGGUGAGGUUUGAUAACUUUUAUUUUUGAGUGUUGAGUGUUUAUUUUUUACAGGUUUUGAAGAUGUCUAAAGGUGAUAAUAAUGAUGCAUUUAUGAAAGUCCAAC